Non-coding RNA from Vicia faba (fava bean), 207 nucleotides. The record is from the annotation of a GenBank genome assembly. Lineage: Eukaryota; Viridiplantae; Streptophyta; Magnoliopsida; Fabales; Fabaceae.
AUGUUAGACAUAUUUUCAUUCUUGGAAAUUGUAAAUCCAUACUCAUUUCCACAAUGUACUAAGAGCAUAAAUAUCGUUGUGGCUUAUGUCUAUGUGUACUACUGUAGUCAGAGUAGUAUUGAUAAUAGAAGACAAAUGAUAGUAGUAUUAAUUGGCACCGUAUCCAAAAAAGGGAUCGUAGCUUUUAAUAAAUAUAUUACCUUGUAG